RNAcentral lists this ribosomal RNA (64 nucleotides) under Staphylococcus aureus. Its description in RNAcentral is "partial 23S ribosomal RNA". Lineage: Bacteria; Bacillati; Bacillota; Bacilli; Caryophanales; Staphylococcaceae. The record is from RNAcentral.
UUCGAGGUGGAAGCAUGGUGACAUGUGGAGCUGACGAAUACUAAUCGAUCGAAGACUUAAUCAA